ACGAAGGGUGCAAGCGUUACUCGGAAUUACUGGGCGUAAAGCGUGCGCAGGCGGUUCGUCGCGUCCGAUGUGAAAGCCCCGGGCUCAACCUGGGAAUGGCAUUGGAAACUGGCGGACUCGAGUGUGGCAGAGGGGGGUGGAAUUCCGCGUGUAGCAGUGAAAUGCGUAGAGAUGCGGAGGAACACCGAUGGCGAAGGCAGCCCCCUGGGCUAACACUGACGCUCAGGCACGAAAGCGUGGAGAGCAAACAGGA
Molecule: ribosomal RNA, 253 nt
Filed under: uncultured prokaryote
Description: partial 16S ribosomal RNA
Rfam family: Bacterial small subunit ribosomal RNA
Source: RNAcentral